Molecule: ribosomal RNA, 494 nt
Filed under: uncultured Bacillota bacterium
Lineage: Bacteria; Bacillati; Bacillota
Description: uncultured Firmicutes bacterium partial 16S ribosomal RNA
Rfam family: Bacterial small subunit ribosomal RNA
Source: RNAcentral
UGGUCGACCUGCAGGCGGCCGCGAAUUCACUAGUGAUUAGAGUUUGAUCAUGGCUCAGGACGAACGCUGGCGGCGUGCCUAACACAUGCAAGUCGAACGGAGAAUUUCAAUGAGUUUACUCGGAGAAAUUUUUAGUGGCGGACGGGUGAGUAACGCGUGGGUAACCUACCCAUAAAGUCGGGACAACCCUUGGAAACGAGGGCUAAUACCGGAUAAUCUUUUGGCUUGGCAUCAAGCUUUAAGAAAAGGUGGCCUCUGAAAAUGCUACCGAUUAUGGAUGGACCCGCGUCUGGUUAGCUAGUUGGUGGGGUAAAGGCCUACCAAGGCGACGAUCAGUAGCCGGCCUGAGAGGGUGAACGGCCACACUGGGACUGAGACACGGCCCAGACUCCUACGGGAGGCAGCAGUGGGGAAUCUUCCGCAAUGGACGAAAGUCUGACGGAGCAACGCCGCGUGUAUGAUGAAGGUCUUCGGAUUGUAAAGUACUGUCUUUG